This is a long non-coding RNA of Panicum virgatum (switchgrass), 1361 nucleotides long. RefSeq lists it as uncharacterized. NCBI's taxonomy places the organism in Eukaryota, Viridiplantae, Streptophyta, Magnoliopsida, Poales, Poaceae. The record is from RefSeq and is a predicted model, not a curated record. The transcript is spliced from 5 exons.
AUCUUCUACAUACCUAGUGCAAAAAAGUCUGCAAAAAUUAACAAAAACAUCGACCACCGGUACUAAUCUUGCAGCGAAGCACUGUCACUCUGUCAGGAUAACCGCUGCUACCAUCGAUCACCCGUCAGAGCAUUACGAUGAACCGGGUCAUAAUGUACCGUGAAUCUCUUCCGGGCCAAGCCCACAUCAUCGAUGCGCUUCGAGAUUUUCGUUUCGGGACCCCCGCGCCCCGCUGCCUGCGCCGCGGCUAGGGUGCCUUCUCGCAGGCGCGGCGCGAGUUUGAAAUUUCUCUCUCCACCGCGCUUCCGCGGCAAUCGGCGGCGAUCACUUCGGUCUCUCGGUCACGCCUCGCGGGCGGCAGCUCUCUCUGAUCACCGCUGAAACGAAGUGGCGGAUCGGGUACCCCUCGAGGUAGCAAUCGUUCACUCGAGCAAGUGUGAAUCAGCCGGGGGGCGGGACGCCAAGAUAUGAGCAAAAGCAGAAAGGAGACUGAACUCACCUGAGAUACAUGGGGUUAGAACGCCAUCACCAAUUACCAUGGAUGUUGCCAGGAUUGUUACUAGGAAAAGCAUGACCUUAAAUUUUGGACUGUUUUCCAUCUUGUUCUUGAUCCAAUGAGCCCUCUUGGUACGAUUUGUGGGGGACUCUAACUUGUAGCGAGAGACCAUCGCAUCUUCAGCCUGCUGAUUAGUUAUGCAACUUCAAGCAAUAGAAGGAUUCUUGUCUAAUUGAAUAAGAGGUAACUGGAGAACAUACCUUGGCUGCAUGUGUUGAUACACCAGGGAUCUUUCCAGCCUCCAUAUGCAGUGAAUCGAAUCUCUGUAACCUCUUUGGUUUCAUUUUCUCUGAUGCAAAUUGUGGGUCCACAUCACCAUGAGCAGCUCCAUUGCUGCUUGUGUGCUGAGAUUCAGCCAUCUCUAAGACGUAGGUGCCUGGCUUGCAAUGCUGGAGUAUGAAUGCGCGCUCUCUCCUUUUUCAGAGACCAGUAUGAACAUCUUCUGGGAUAGACAGGAUGCUCGUGCAACAAACAGAUUUCUCAUUGUGUGCUGUUGAAGUCAGAUGCUGUUAUCAUUCACUUCACUUGCCAAAGUCUUCAUUCAACGCGGCAGCCAUGAAUCUUGUGAUGUGCUUUACAUAAGCCAGGAACGUGGAUGGGUGGGAGGGCAUGGUGACUUUUCUUCAUCAGCAGUAGUUGUCACUCGCGAAUAAGUGUGGAGUUGCACUAAAACUUUCCAUAAGCAUCGGCAACAUGGCACUUCAGUUCCAAUUUUACACAUAUACUCACUGACAAUGAAAAAAAAUCCUAUGUAGACGACAUGUAUAAGACUAAAAGAAAAAUCAAUAAAUCAUGUUGAGUGAUA